AUGAACGCUAGCGACAGGCUUAACACAUGCAAGUCGAGGGGCAUCAAGGUAGUAGCAAUACUACUGUUGGCGACCGGCGCACGGGUGAGUAACGCGUAUGCAACCUACCUUCAACAAGGGGAUAGCCCGGCGAAAGUCGGAUUAAUACCCUAUAAAACAGGGGUCCCGCCUGGGAAUAUUUGUUAAAGAUUUAUCGGUUGAAGAUGGGCAUGCGUAACAUUAGGUAGUUGGUAAGGUAACGGCUUACCAAGCCCACGAUGUUUAGGGGUUCUGAGAGGAAGGUCCCCCACACUGGUACUGAGACACGGACCAGACUCCUACGGGAGGCAGCAGUGAGGAAUAUUGGUCAAUGGGCGAGAGCCUGAACCAGCCAAGUCGCGUGAAGGAAGACGGCCCUACGGGUUGUAAACUUCUUUUAUAGGGGAAUAAAAAGGGGAACGUGUUCUCCAUUGCAUGUACCCUAUGAAUAAGCAUCGGCUAACUCCGUGCCAGCAGCCGCGGUAAUACGGAGGAUGCGAGCGUUAUCCGGAUUUAUUGGG
RNAcentral lists this ribosomal RNA (539 nucleotides) under uncultured bacterium. RNAcentral describes it as "bacterial SSU rRNA". It matches the Rfam family "Bacterial small subunit ribosomal RNA", at positions 29 to 558 of the family's 1533-position model. The record is from RNAcentral.